CUUGCUGGGGGAUUAGUGGCGAACGGGUGAGUAACACGUGAGUAACCUGCCCUUGACUCUGGGAUAAGCCUGGGAAACUGGGUCUAAUACCGGAUACGACCAUCUGGCGCAUGUCAUGGUGGUGGAAAGCUUUUGUGGUUUUGGAUGGACUCGCGGCCUAUCAGCUUGUUGGUGGGGUAAUGGCCUACCAAGGCGACGACGGGUAGCCGGCCUGAGAGGGUGACCGGCCACACUGGGACUGAGACACGGCCCAGACUCCUACGGGAGGCAGCAGUGGGGAAUAUUGCACAAUGGGCGCAAGCCUGAUGCAGCGACGCCGCGUGAGGGAUGACGGCCUUCGGGUUGUAAACCUCUUUCAGUAGGGAAGAAGCGAAAGUGACGGUACCUGCAGAAGAAGCGCCGGCUAACUACGUGCCAGCAGCCGCGGUAAUACGUAGGGCGCAAGCGUUAUCCGGAAUUAUUGGGCGUAAAGAGCUCGUAGGCGGUUUGUCGCGUCUGCUGUGAAAGACCGGGGCUCAACUCCGGUUCUGCAGUGGGUACGGGCAGACUAGAGUGCAGUAGGGGAGACUGGAAUUCCUGGUGUAGCGGUGAAAUGCGCAGAUAUCAGGAGGAACACCGAUGGCGAAGGCAGGUCUCUGGGCUGUAACUGACGCUGAGGAGCGAAAGCAUGGGGAGCGAACAGGAUUAGAUACCCUGGUAGUCCAUGCCGUAAACGUUGGGCACUAGGUGUGGGGGACAUUCCACGUUUUCCGCGCCGUAGCUAACGCAUUAAGUGCCCCGCCUGGGGAGUACGGCCGCAAGGCUAAAACUCAAAGGAAUUGACGGGGGCCCGCACAAGCGGCGGAGCAUGCGGAUUAAUUCGAUGCAACGCGAAGAACCUUACCAAGGCUUGACAUGAACCGGAAAGACCUGGAAACAGGUGCCCCGCUUGCGGUCGGUUUACAGGUGGUGCAUGGUUGUCGUCAGCUCGUGUCGUGAGAUGUUGGGUUAAGUCCCGCAACGAGCGCAACCCUCGUUCUAUGUUGCCAGCGCGUUAUGGCGGGGACUCAUAGGAGACUGCCGGGGUCAACUCGGAGGAAGGUGGGGACGACGUCAAAUCAUCAUGCCCCUUAUGUCUUGGGCUUCACGCAUGCUACAAUGGCCGGUACAAAGGGUUGCGAUACUGUGAGGUGGAGCUAAUCCCAAAAAGCCGGUCUCAGUUCGGAUUGGGGUCUGCAACUCGACCCCAUGAAGUCGGAGUCGCUAGUAAUCGCAGAUC
RNAcentral lists this ribosomal RNA (1258 nucleotides) under Arthrobacter sp. NSH-1. RNAcentral describes it as "bacterial SSU rRNA". It matches the Rfam family "Bacterial small subunit ribosomal RNA", at positions 80 to 1350 of the family's 1533-position model. Lineage: Bacteria; Bacillati; Actinomycetota; Actinomycetes; Micrococcales; Micrococcaceae. The record is from RNAcentral.